UUGACGGGGCCCGCACAAGCGGUGGAGCAUGUGGUUAAUUCGAAGCAACGCGAAGAACCUUACCAGGUCUUGACACCCCGAUGCUAUUUCUAGAGAUAGAAAGUUACUUCGGUACAUCGGUGACAGGUGGUGCAUGGUUGUCGUCAGCUCGUGUCGUGAGAUGUUGGGUUAAGUCCCGCAACGAGCGCAACCCCUAUUGUUAGUUGCCAUCAUUCAGUUGGGCACUCUAGCGAGACUGCCGGUAAUAAACCGGAGGAAGGUGGGAUGACGUCAAAUCAUCAUGCCCCUUAUGACCUGGGCUACACACGUGCUACAAUGGUUGGUACAACGAGUUGCGAGUCGGUGACGGCGAGCUAAUCUCUUAAAGCCAAUCUCAGUUCGGAUUGUAGGCUGCAACUCGCCUACAUGAAGUCGGAAUCGCUAGUAAUCGCGGAUCAGCACGCCGCGGUGAAUACGUUCCCGGGCCUU
RNAcentral lists this ribosomal RNA (468 nucleotides) under uncultured Streptococcus sp. Its description in RNAcentral is "bacterial SSU rRNA". It matches the Rfam family "Bacterial small subunit ribosomal RNA", at positions 910 to 1382 of the family's 1533-position model. The record is from RNAcentral. Lineage: Bacteria; Bacillati; Bacillota; Bacilli; Lactobacillales; Streptococcaceae.